RNAcentral lists this unclassified non-coding RNA (396 nucleotides) under soil metagenome. Its description in RNAcentral is "partial contains 5.8S ribosomal RNA, internal transcribed spacer 2, and large subunit ribosomal RNA". The stretch from base 1 to 122 matches the Rfam family "5.8S ribosomal RNA", at positions 35 to 154 of the family's 154-position model. The record is from RNAcentral.
GAUGAAGAACGUAGCGAAAUGCGAUACUAGGUGUGAAUUGCAGAAUCCCGUGAACCAUCGAGUCUUUGAACGCAAGUUGCGCCCGAAGCCAUUUGGUUGAGGGCACGUCUGCCGGCGCGUCACAUAUCGUUGCCCGAUGCCUAUUGCACUGUGAUAGGAAAUUCUAGGGCGAAAGAUGGCUUCCCGUGAGCGUUGUUGCCUCGCGGUUGGUUGAAAAUUGAGUCCUUGGUAGGGUGUGCCAUGAUAGAUGGUGGUCGAGUUUGCACGAGACCGAUCAUGUGUGCGCUCCCCAAAAUAUGGACUCUUUGACCCCACACGCGUCUUUUGACGCUCAUGACGAGACCUCAGGUCAGGCGGGGCUACCCGCUGAGUUUAAGCAUAUCAAUAAGCGGAGGA